RNAcentral lists this ribosomal RNA (300 nucleotides) under uncultured bacterium. RNAcentral's name for it is "bacterial SSU rRNA". It matches the Rfam family "Bacterial small subunit ribosomal RNA", at positions 1046 to 1347 of the family's 1533-position model. The record is from RNAcentral.
UGGCUGUCGUCAGCUCGUGUCGUGAGAUGUUGGUUAAAGUCCCGCAACGAGCGCAACCUUUGCCUUUAUUUCCCAGCAUUAAGUUGGGCACUUUAAGGUGACUGCCGAUGACAAAUCGGAGGAAGGUGGGGAUGACGUCAAAUCAUCAUGCCCCUUAUGACCUGGGCUACACACGUGCUACAAUGGGCGGUACAAAGGGUUGCAAACCCGCGAGGGGGAGCCAAUCCCAAAAAGCCGCUCUCAGUUCGGAUUGCAGGCUGCAACUCGCCUGCAUGAAGCCGGAAUCGCUAGUAAUCGCGA